CCUACGGGUGGCAGCAGUGAGGAAUAUUGGUCAAUGGACGAGAGUCUGAACCAGCCAAGUAGCGUGAAGGAAGACGGCCCUAUGGGUUGUAAACCUCUUUUGUCGGAGAACAAAACCCGGGACGUGUCCCGGACUGCGUGUAUCCGAAGAAAAAGCAUCGGCUAACUCCGUGCCGGCCGCCGCGGUAAUACGGGGGAUGCGAGCGUUAUCCGGAUUUAUUGGGUUUAAAGGGUGCGUAGGCGGUCCGUUAAGUUAGCGGUAAAAUUGCGGGGCUCAACCCCGUCGAGCCGUUGAGACUGGCAGACUUGAGUUGGCGAGAAGUACGCGGAAUGCGCGGUGUAGUGGUGAAAUGCAUAGAUAUCGCGCAGAACUCCGAUUGCGAAGGCAGCGUACCGGCGCCAGACUGACGCUGAGGCACGAAAGCGUGGGGAUCGAACAGGAUUAGAUACCCUAGUAGUC
Molecule: ribosomal RNA, 459 nt
Filed under: uncultured bacterium
Lineage: Bacteria
Description: partial 16S ribosomal RNA
Rfam family: Bacterial small subunit ribosomal RNA
Source: RNAcentral